UACGAAGGGGGGCUAGCGUUGUUCGGAUUUACUGGGCGUAAAGCGCACGUAGGCGGAUCGAUCAGUCAGGGGUGAAAUCCCAGAGCUCAACUCUGGAACUGCCUUUGAUACUGUCGAUCUGGAGUAUGGAAGAGGUGAGUGGAAUUCCGAGUGUAGAGGUGAAAUUCGUAGAUAUUCGGAGGAACACCAGUGGCGAAGGCGGCUCACUGGUCCAUUACUG
This 220-nucleotide ribosomal RNA is filed under the name uncultured bacterium. RNAcentral describes it as "partial 16S ribosomal RNA". It matches the Rfam family "Bacterial small subunit ribosomal RNA", at positions 524 to 742 of the family's 1533-position model. The record is from RNAcentral.